AGUGAACGCUGGCGGUAGGCCUAACACAUGCAAGUCGAACGGCAGCACAGUAAGAGCUUGCUCUUACGGGUGGCGAGUGGCGGACGGGUGAGGAAUACAUCGGAAUCUACUUUUUCGUGGGGGAUAACGUAGGGAAACUUACGCUAAUACCGCAUACGACCUACGGGUGAAAGCAGGGGAUCUUCGGACCUUGCGCGAUUGAAUGAGCCGAUGUCGGAUUAGCUAGUUGGCGGGGUAAAGGCCCACCAAGGCAACGAUCCGUAGCUGGUCUGAGAGGAUGAUCGGCCACACUGGAACUGAGACACGGUCCAGACUCCUACGGGCGGCAGCAGUAGGGAAUCUUGCGCAAUGGGCGAGAGCCUGACGGAGCAAUGCCGCGUGAGUGAUGAAGGUCUUCGUAUCGUAAAACUCUGUUAUUAGGGAAGAACAAAUGUGUAAGUAAAUAUGCCCGUCUUGACGGUACCUAAACAGAAAGCCACGGCUAACUACGUG
This 492-nucleotide ribosomal RNA is filed under the name uncultured bacterium. RNAcentral's name for it is "partial 16S ribosomal RNA". It matches the Rfam family "Bacterial small subunit ribosomal RNA", at positions 29 to 507 of the family's 1533-position model. The record is from RNAcentral.